GAUGAACGCUGGCGGCGUGCCUAAUACAUGCAAGUCGAGCGAACGGACGAGAAGCUUGCUUCUCUGAUGUUAGCGGCGGACGGGUGAGUAACACGUGGAUAACCUACCUAUAAGACUGGGAUAACUUCGGGAAACCGGAGCUAAUACCGGAUGAUAUUUUGAACCGCAUGGUUCAAAAGUGAAAGACGGUCUUGCUGUCACUUAUAGAUGGAUCCGCGCUGCAUUAGCUAGUUGGUAAGGUAACGGCUUACCAAGGCAACGAUGCAUAGCCGACCUGAGAGGGUGAUCGGCCGCACUGGAACUGAGACACGGUCCAGACUCCUACGGGAGGCAGCAGUAGGGAAUCUUCCGCAAUGGGCGAAAGCCUGACGGAGCAACGCCGCGUGAGUGAUGAAGGUCUUCGGAUCGUAAAACUCUGUUAUUAGGGAAGAACAUAUGUGUAAGUAACUGUGCACAUCUUGACGGUACCUAAUCAGAAAGCCACGGCUAACUACGUGCCAGCAGCCGCGGUAAUACGUAGGUGGCAAGCGUUAUCCGGAAUUAUUGGGCGUAAAGCGCGCGUAGGCGGUUUUUUAAGUCUGAUGUGAAAGCCCACGGCUCAACCGUGGAGGGUCAUUGGAAACUGGAAAACUUGAGUGCAGAAGAGGAAAGUGGAAUUCCAUGUGUAGCGGUGAAAUGCGCAGGAGAUAUGGAGGAACACCAGUGGCGAAGGCGACUUUCUGGUCUGUAACUGACGCUGAUGUGCGAAAGCGUGGGGAUCAAACAGGAUUAGAUACCCUGGUAGUCCACCCCGUAAACGAUGAGUGCUAAGUGUUAGGGGGUUUCCGCCCCUUAGUGCUGCAGCUAACGCAUUAAGCACUCCGCCUGGGGAGUACGACCGCAAGGUUGAAACUCAAAGGAAUUGACGGGGACCCGCACAAGCGGUGGAGCAUGUGGUUUAAUUCGAAGCAACGCGAAGAACCUUACCAAAUCUUGACAUCCUUUGACAACUCUAGAGAUAGAGCCUUCCCCUUCGGGGGACAAAGUGACAGGUGGUGCAUGGUUGUCGUCAGCUCGUGUCGUGAGAUGUUGGGUUAAGUCCCGCAACGAGCGCAACCCUUAAGCUUAGUUGCCAUCAUUAAGUUGGGCACUCUAAGUUGACUGCCGGUGACAAACCGGAGGAAGGUGGGGAUGACGUCAAAUCAUCAUGCCCCUUAUGAUUUGGGCUACACACGUGCUACAAUGGACAAUACAAAGGGCAGCGAAACCGCGAGGUCAAGCAAAUCCCAUAAAGUUGUUCUCAGUUCGGAUUGUAGUCUGCAACUCGACUACAUGAAGCUGGAAUCGCUAGUAAUCGUAGAUCAGCAUGCUACGGUGAAUACGUUCCCGGGUCU
This 1373-nucleotide ribosomal RNA is filed under the name uncultured bacterium. RNAcentral's name for it is "bacterial SSU rRNA". It matches the Rfam family "Bacterial small subunit ribosomal RNA", at positions 28 to 1381 of the family's 1533-position model. The record is from RNAcentral.